UACGAAGGGGGCUAGCGUUGCUCGGAAUCACUGGGCGUAAAGGGUGCGUAGGCGGGUCUUUAAGUCAGGGGUGAAAUCCUGGAGCUCAACUCCAGAACUGCCUUGAUACUGGAAGAUCUUGAGUCGGGAGAGGUGAGUGGAACUGCGAGUGUAGAGGUGAAAUUCGUAGAUAUUCGCAAGAACACCAGUGGCGAAGGCGGCUCACUGGCCCGGUACUGACGCUGAGGUGCGAAAGCGUGGGGAGCAAACAGG
RNAcentral lists this ribosomal RNA (252 nucleotides) under uncultured bacterium. Its description in RNAcentral is "partial 16S ribosomal RNA". It matches the Rfam family "Bacterial small subunit ribosomal RNA", at positions 524 to 776 of the family's 1533-position model. The record is from RNAcentral.